UACGAAGGGGGCUAGCGUUGUUCGGAAUUACUGGGCGUAAAGCGCGCGCAGGCGGUCUUCUAAGUCAGUGGUGAAAGCCCGGAGCUCAACUCCGGAACUGCCAUUGAAACUGUAAGACUUGAGGAUGAGAGAGGUGAGUGGAAUUCCCAGUGUAGAGGUGAAAUUCGUAGAUAUUGGGAAGAACACCGGUGGCGAAGGCGGCUCUCUGGCUCAUCACUGACGCUCAGGCGCGAAAGCGUGGGGAGCAAACAGG
This 253-nucleotide ribosomal RNA is filed under the name uncultured bacterium. RNAcentral's name for it is "partial 16S ribosomal RNA". It matches the Rfam family "Bacterial small subunit ribosomal RNA", at positions 524 to 776 of the family's 1533-position model. The record is from RNAcentral.